This is a long non-coding RNA of Danio rerio (zebrafish), 788 nucleotides long. The record is from RefSeq and is marked validated. NCBI's taxonomy places the organism in Eukaryota, Metazoa, Chordata, Actinopteri, Cypriniformes, Danionidae.
CAACUCCAACCCUGGCCUUCAUAACGACACAUGACGGAACACUAUUUACACGUUUGUGCAUUCUGGAACUUGACAUUUAUUAUUGGAAGGGGGAAGCACGUAGAGGAGGAAGGGCUUCCAAAGCAAAGCAAGGAGGAGCCUUGAGCUGCACACCUUCUUGACGUGACGUUACAUGGACUUUGCUCUCACCUCACCUGUCUAUUCUUUUAGUCUUUCUCCAUCUUCAGAUCCAAGCACAAAUACAGGAGCCAACAGGAGACUGCUGCAGAAUGGAUAAAUCUGAGAAUGCCAAGUGUGAGGCAGAUGAGGAGAACGCAGCUAUGCUUGGAAACACAAAUAAAGCAGGAGAAACCAUUGAUGCCAUUCAAAAAGCUGAGGGCACUAGUAAGAAUUGUAAGGAAUCUCCAGCAAAACCAAAAGGGAACCAGAAGUUGGUGUACCUGCGGGCUAAUAAAGGACUCAUUGCCAUUGUAUUGGUUUCAGCUGUUAUUAUAUUUGCUGUCGUGGUUGCCAUGCUUGCCACUACGGAAUCAGACGGGCAUGGCCAUGGUCACGGGCAUGGCCGCUCCCAAUUGCACAACAUCACAAAAAAACCUUAACAGGAGAUGCAGCAGACCAAGAGGAUAAAUCAGUUCAUCAUUUUUGUUUUUAACAAGACUUUGAAUCAUGUUUUGUGUAAUUUGAUCUGACAAGAAAUUUCUGCCAUUAUUUAUUCACCCUUAUCUUCACAACUUUUUGUCCCAAAGUUGUUCAAUAAAGCUGACUCAGCUUCAUUGUCAUAUAAAUAC